This 512-nucleotide ribosomal RNA is filed under the name uncultured bacterium. RNAcentral's name for it is "bacterial SSU rRNA". It matches the Rfam family "Bacterial small subunit ribosomal RNA", at positions 8 to 518 of the family's 1533-position model. The record is from RNAcentral.
AGGGUUCGAUUCUGGCUCAGGAUGAACGCUGGCGGCGUGCUUAACACAUGCAAGUCGAACGGAGUUUUUAAACGGAAGUUUUCGGAUGGAAGUUUAGAAACUUAGUGGCGGACGGGUGAGUAACGCGUGGGUAACCUGCCUCAUACAGGGGGAUAACAGUUAGAAAUGACUGCUAACACCGCAUAAUAUAGCGAAACCGCAUGAUUUUUGCUAUCAAAUAUUUAUAGGUAUGAGAUGGGCCCGCGUCUGAUUAGCUAGUUGGUGGGGUAAAAGCCUACCAAGGCGACGAUCAGUAGCCGGCUUGAGAGAGUGACCGGCCACAUUGGGACUGAGACACGGCCCAAACUCCUACGGGAGGCAGCAGUGGGGAAUAUUGGACAAUGGGGGAAACCCUGAUCCAGCGAACCGCCGCGUGAGUGAAGAAGUAUUUCGGUAUGUAAAGCUCUAUCAGCAGGGAAGAUAAUGACAGUACCUGACUAAGAAGCCCCGGCUAACUACGUGCCAGCAGCCGC